RNAcentral lists this non-coding RNA (30 nucleotides) under Homo sapiens (human). The record is from RNAcentral. Lineage: Eukaryota; Metazoa; Chordata; Mammalia; Primates; Hominidae.
UCUCAGGUGUCAGUUUCUGGGGAAGCGAAC